Molecule: ribosomal RNA, 501 nt
Filed under: uncultured bacterium
Lineage: Bacteria
Description: partial 16S ribosomal RNA
Rfam family: Bacterial small subunit ribosomal RNA
Source: RNAcentral
AUUGAACGCUGGCGGCAUGCCUUACACAUGCAAGUCGAACGGCAGCACGGGUGCUUGCACCUGGUGGCGAGUGGCGAACGGGUGAGUAAUACAUCGGAACGUACCUUAUCGUGGGGGAUAACGCAGCGAAAGCUGUGCUAAUACCGCAUACGCCCUAAGGGGGAAAGCGGGGGAUCGUAAGACCUCGCGCAAUUAGAGCGGCCGAUAUCUGAUUAGCUAGUUGGUGAGGUAAAGGCUCACCAAGGCGACGAUCAGUAGCUGGUCUGAGAGGACGAUCAGCCACACUGGGACUGAGACACGGCCCAGACUCCUACGGGAGGCAGCAGUGGGGAAUUUUGGACAAUGGGGGCAACCCUGAUCCAGCAAUGCCGCGUGAGUGAAGAAGGCCUUCGGGUUGUAAAGCUCUUUUGUCAGGGAAGAAACAGCAGCUCUAAUACAGUUUGCGAAUGACGGUACCUGAAGAAUAAGCACCGGCUAACUACGUGCCAGCCGCCGCCGUAA